Molecule: ribosomal RNA, 506 nt
Filed under: uncultured bacterium
Lineage: Bacteria
Description: partial 16S ribosomal RNA
Rfam family: Bacterial small subunit ribosomal RNA
Source: RNAcentral
AUUGAACGCUGGCGGCAUGCUUUACACAUGCAAGUCGAACGGUAGAGGGGGCAACCCCUUGAGAGUGGCGAACGGGUGAGUAAUGCAUCGGAACGUGCCCAGUCGUGGGGGAUAACGCAGCGAAAGCUGUGCUAAUACCGCAUACGAUCUCUGGAUGAAAGCGGGGGACCUUGUAGCAAUACGGGGCCUCGCGGGAUGGGAGCGGCCGAUGUCGGAUUAGGUAGUUGGGGGGGUAAAGGCUCACCAAGCCAACGAUCUGUAGCUGGUCUGAGAGGACGACCAGCCACACUGGGACUGGGACACGGCCCAGAUUCCUACGGGAGGCAGCAGUGGGGAAUUUUGGACAAUGGGCGCAAGCCUGAUCCAGCAAUGCCGCGUGCAGGAAGAAGGCCUUCGGGUUGUAAACUGCUUUUGUACGGAACGAAAAGGUCUGGGUUAAUACCCUGGGCACAUGACGGUACCGUAAGAAUAAGCACCGGCUAACUACGUGCCAGCAGCCGCAGUAA